Molecule: long non-coding RNA, 1832 nt
Filed under: Triticum aestivum (bread wheat)
Lineage: Eukaryota; Viridiplantae; Streptophyta; Magnoliopsida; Poales; Poaceae
Description: long non-coding RNA (TAES_LNC025695)
Source: RNAcentral
AUUGGGAGAUAUUCUCCCAAGUAGAUUUUUAAAAAAAGAAUUGGGUCAUGGGGCUAGCUGACUACCAUGCUCUUUUCUCCUAUAUGUAAUUCUUACAAACUAUUCCCUAAUUUUCAUUUGAUGCUUUCACUGAAAUAAUAUUUUGGAUUGUUUGUUUUGUGAUCAGUGUGCAUCUUGUUUGUCCUCUCCACCAAGCAGCAUCGACUACUCCAUACAAGCACAUAAGCUUAUGCCCUUAUGAAGUUAUGAUUAUAUAUUUACCAAUGACUAUUAUGGUUGAUAGCUUUAAAGUCGUUGCUUCUAUAUGCAGCUAAGAAUGACUUAUAAGUUCAUGGCAAAAGCAGCAACAUCAGUACGUAACCACAAGCAAGCUGAGGGGGUAAUAAUCUUGGUAUUUAAGUCUUAGAUUCAGUAUUUUGCUUUUUGGAUACAUGAACAUUGAAACUUAUUUAGCAUUUUGUUUCUUAUAUGCUUCAUGCAAAUAAAACUGCAGUAAAAUAUGAGCCGAGAUUUUGCUUGGCAUGUGUAUGUAUGCAUGCCCUGAAUUUGCUUAGCAUUUUUAUGCAUACAACUAUUGGAAGCUUUUACAUGUCCUGGAACUGAGCUUUUGCAUGCCCUAUGUUUUCUGAAGCUGAGUCUUUUGUUAUUGGCUAGUACUUGAAACAGAGUCGCAGGCCUCCUGCCAUAUAACCAUUUAUGAAGUGCAUAUGUGAUGCCUUAUCUUGUAUUCCUACAAAGAGUCCAGUAUUUUUUUUCAUGUGUAAAAAGUGGCUGACCUGGCAUUACACUGUUAAGUAUUUUGUACACAUCAGGAAUCUUGUUGUAGAUACACACUAAGCUGAAAAUGUUGCUAGCAGAAAUAGGUUUUCUGUUAGCUACGCAUCUGGUUUAAAACAUGGUAUGACUAGUUGCUUUGGAAUAGUAACGCCUUGAUAUUAUCUGAUCCUAUCUCAUGCAUAUUUUAGUUAUUUCUAGACAAAGCUUUAGGAACCGAGUUCACUACAACUCGAAGUCUUGUGCAUGGAGGAGAAUUGAGAUAUUUGUGCAUUCUGUACUAGUCAAAAGGUAUGUGUAGAUAUUCUGCUCAUUCUAGUUCAUGCUGCUACUUUAUUAAGGUCUUCUUUUAUGAGCCUCUACCUUGUGCAAAUAAUAUGAUUAUUUAGUAGCCUGGUUUCAUAGCUUUGAAUCUCAUGUGAAUAAACUAUAUGUCUAGGUGUUUGCUGUUCUUUGCUUAACUAGAUAUCGAAGUAUAGACAACAAGCUCAUGUACAAGAUGGCAAUUAUGAUGGUUAUUUAGUUUAUUUCAUUGGUUCUCAGCAUAUUAAUUGAUUGUAACAUUCUAGCUUUAUUUAAUAAGAAGAUGUAAAAGAAACAACAAGUAAUCUCCAUUUUUUGUUCUACAAUAUAGAUAGUUUACCAAGCUUAUUAACUUAUAGCAGAUCUACCAUCUUCUCCUUUCAGGUUGGCAUCAUGGUUGGAAGAUCUUGUGUGCUACUCUCUACACGAUGUUUCUUCUACAUGAUAGCACUUGACGUCUACAUGAUAGUACUUGAAGUCUACAUGAUGUUUCUUGUAUUCAUAGCUCAAACCAUUUGUUUAGCUUAGUUUGAACAAAAAAUAUUAUUGUCUUACAUGUAAAUAAUGUUUACUAAUGUAGCUGGAUGCUACUGAACGCAUGUACGAAAGUCAAAAUACUAAGUGUUAGUCAUUAUGUGUUUGAGAACUGCCGUUGAAUCUUGAGUGAAUUCCUGUAUGAAUAGAAAUCAAAAGAAAUAUAAAUGCUACCAAAUUCCUGUAUGAAUAGAAAUCGAAAGCAACAUAUACACUACCAG